Molecule: transfer RNA, 80 nt
Filed under: Asterionellopsis glacialis
Lineage: Eukaryota; Bacillariophyta; Plagiogrammaphyceae; Rhaphoneidales; Asterionellopsidaceae
Rfam family: tRNA
About the family: Transfer RNA (tRNA) molecules are approximately 80 nucleotides in length. Their secondary structure includes four short double-helical elements and three loops (D, anti-codon, and T loops).
Source: RNAcentral
GUGGCCGAGUGGUCGAAGGCGCUCCCCUGCUAAGGGAGUAGGCGGGAAACCGUCUCGAGGGUUCGAAUCCCUUCGUCUCC